CCAUGAGACGCUCAAGGAGUGGGCAUGCGCUGGGUGUGUGCGUGGGAUGGGCAAACGAGUCCACGCGCAAGGCGGACUCGACCACGUGCAGGAGGCAAGUCACAACUGUGGCCACACAGCACACAGGGGGCCAUCUCCUCACAGCUGCACCUGGCAGGAGCACCUGAAGUAGGAAAGGAGGAUGCAAAUCUUGUCUCACGGUCAGAGGACAGACUGAUGUAAAAAUCAACUCAUGCACAGCUUUUCACAGUGGUAAGUCAGGUAGCACUUCUGAAGUGGGAUCUGCUGUGGUUAGGUUUAAAUAAAGAUACAGAGUAUUAUUAAAUGUAUAUAUUUUUUAAUAAAGCCAAUAGUUAUUUUACUUAUAGGAGCUUUAAAAGUAAGAUACAAAAUGUAGAGUUCCAGUUUGGAAGCAUUGUAACUAUUCACAAAAUGUCCUGCUGAUGCCGGAGCAAGGCAGCCAUGCCCGGCCAUGCCAAGGACACACUCACGCGCGCGUAUACACACAUGCACACACACAUGCGCUUUGGCGAGACCCCUCUGCCGAGACCCCUCUGCCGAGCGCAGCACCUGGAAUUACCAGUGUUCAGAGCAAGGCGGUGCUGGGAACACAGCACUUACAUGGAGACUACACAAACAGCUUCACACAGUCUCUCAGCCCAUGGAGAUACAGUUAUGAAAUAUCUUCCUAAAUUGAGAAGAACAAACUGGAAAGUGACAAUUAGCAAUGUCACUUGCACUGGGGCAUUGAGCACUGACCUCUGUCCACCAUGAGGUCUUUGGGGAGGCCCUAUUAAAAGUACUUUAUUAUAACAGAACUCCAAGUACUGGGUACUCUGGACACAUUACUGAAGGAAACAGAAAACUAUCUUACAAGUAAAACAGCCACAAAGAACUUUAACAGAGAUUAGUGUGCACACUGUGACAGCUAAUACAGACAAGAGCCACACAGGGUUGAUGCAAAGCACGUGCCUGAAAAACUCUAUGUACACACAGUUUUCUGUAAACAAGGUGAGGUGAAUGUGUGAAAGGAUCAUUAAGUACAGGCAGCAGUGACAUCUCCAUACGGAACAAAAGACAAUACCCAAGGCCUGGAACAGCCCGACAGCACAGUACUAAAAAUGCAGGUGGCUGGGCUCAGACAACCUAAGGGUCCUCUGUAAUGUGUGUGUGUGUGUGUGUGUGUGUGUGUGUAUGGUAUGUGUACAUAUAUAUAUAUAUAUUUAUUUAUUUAUUCUUUUUGGUAUUUUUAAAUAUAAAUUUACUUGUAUUUGUAGAAAAAUGAGAACAUAAAUGUGUUAUUACAAUCUUUGCUGGAAAAGCUUAUAUGGAGUUAGAAAGAAUAAACCAUUUAUUAGUAGUUAACAUAUAUUAAAAUGGUUUAAUGAUUUAAGAAAAUAUAAAAAAAAUAUUAAUACUGUCAAACUUUCAUACCAGAAAAUAUCAUGGAUUUUUAAUUAGACUUUUUCAAAGAUGAAAUAUGAAAAAUUUAAAUAAGUUUUAUAUAAAGAACUUUCUGCAACCUCAGUUAUACAGUGGGAUAUGUCUAGUCUAUAUAGAUAUAUUUAUUAUUUCUCAAUUUAAGCACCAUUCAAUUCUGGAUCCAUUCUGGCUGGAAAAUAUCCCUAAAUCCACAAGAUGUUAUCUACUUAAUCAUGGUACAUAUUAACUGAAAAUGAGGUGUUGUUUUGUUUUGUUUUUUUUUAAAGAAAAGACUUUAAUUCUUGCUCACAUCUUAAUUGGUUUGUCUUCUGAGCCAGCUCACAGAUAUCACUGGUUUCAAGUGCAGGUGUCUCUUGCAAUCCAGUGGCUACAGCUCAGCAUCCCAACGACUGCACAGUGCCUCUGUCCAAGUGUGGAAGCUCUGAGGGCAGCAGGUGCAGCUCUGUCUGCCCCAGACAUCAGCCAGCUGGCUCUUCUCCAUGCACCAUCAGCAACAGAGCUCCGGAAUCACUUUCACAACCCUGCUUUUGUGAAUCUGGUAGGGGGUACAUCCCCUGGGUGUUUCCGGGGUAGAAAAAGCUGCCCACUCACAGAACACCAGGUGAUACUUCUGGCUGCAAUAUUCUCUACCUUGCCCAUUUUGAGUAAGUUUAAGUAUAGUGUUAGCACAUCCCCAGACUGUAUCUGUUAUCUUAAACUACUGAAUGCAUUUUAGGCAGAUGUUUUAACUAAAAGCCUACAUGAAUAAUAGCUAUGAAAUCAGUGAUUGGUGUGGUCACCACUCAAUGUAUUAAGGAGGGAAAAGGAGAAGCUUUCAGAAGAAUGGUCAGUUUUGCUGUCAGCCUUCAGGCCUGACACCUUCCCAACACACAGCAGGAUUAGCAACCUUAGAACUGUGUUUUUCAGAGUGUGGCCUCUGGCCCCCUGCAUCAGAAUCACCUGAGGUGCUUAAACAUGCAGAUUAUCCAGCAUCCCCCUGAGUGUCAGAAAUCUCCAUCUUCAGCUGGUUUUCCAGGGGUCUGCUGCCUUCAAAGUUUGAGAAACCAGGCGAUAAAGGCUUGGAGCUGCCAACUACCCCUGUUGCCAAGGAGCCCUCCUUGGGACAGGGUGCACUGGUCCUCUUGGGGGCUGGUAUCAACUAGUCAGCCAUGGGGCAGAGGUACUGGCCCCAACAGCUCUGGGCAGGCAGGCAGGCAGGCUGACCCUGCAUCAGUACUGGGGCAAGUAGGCUGGCCUUCGCUCAGCCUUCCCAGGGAAGGCCUUGAAGCCCUUGGGUGCCGCCUUGUGUGCGGGUGGGGCUGGGGGCUGUGGUGGAGUCUGCAUGUAGGUGAAGGAGGUGGCACUGCAGUCGUUGGUUGCAGCCCACACAGGGGACUGUAGCAUCUGCAUGGUGUCGUUCCACUGGCUUCCAGGGCUGGCAACUGCAUAGAGCGGUGCACUUGGGCUGGGCAUUGUGCUGGGGAGCGGAGAAGGGUGCUGCCAGGGUGCUUUGGGUGGCCACGUUUUGGUUUUGUUAUCCUGAGAGAAAGAAGAGUUCUUAGUGGCAUGUUUGGUGAUUUGUCAUCCUUUCCCACCUCCCAGAUCUCUGGCCUUUUUUUCUACCUAGUAGGCAGGCAGGGUGUGAGUCCCAGCCUUGCCCUCGUCCUUGAGCACUGGAAUUUCUUACAAUAAUAACAGUGAUGUAUGUGUUCAACACAUAAGCCUCUAGUCACAUAUGGCUAAUGCACCCAUGGAACUGAAUAACUGAACAGCUGCACAUGGCAAUAUGGGACAGUACAACCCUAGAGCUUCUUCUACAUUUGGAUGAGCCAGCUGACAUAGUUAAUCAUUCAGACAAUCAGGAAAAAAAAGUGAUUCAGCACAAAGAACCCUCACGACUUAGUGGUCCUCUUAAACUGAAGCUCUGGAGCUUUGCUCAUGGUUUUUACAAUGGGCCAGCUGACAAUACCUGGUUCAUGUCUUCUACUGUAGUGAGGAGAGAUGGCGAGGGCAGCGUGUUGGUCUCUUGCUCUCCACUGCUGUGUUUCCUGAAAGAACCAAGAACCCAGAAUAGUAGUUGCCUGGCUGCUUGUCCUGCUUAGCUCUGGGGGACACCCUAGUUGCUUGUCUCUGGUGUCGUGGGACUCCGGUUGUAUGUGAAGUCCUGAGUCUGUCAUGUUCAGGGGUCAGGGAAACAGCACAUGCAUGCAGAUGGGAUGGGCAAGGCAGGCAUAAAGAAGAGUACUGGCUUUUUUCAUCUGCUGGCUGAGACCACCAGCUUUGGCUUUCAUUAAAUGGUUCAGUAGACCCUGGCUGUUUACCAUGUACAGAAUUAAAAGUAAAUGAGCCCUGAAUGCGAGGCAGAACGCAGGUGAGAGCCAGUGCUCUGUGUGCUCCUAGCAGUCUCUGCAGAAGUGGCUCUAGUCCUGGUUCACAGCAGUGCUGCAUGCAGACACAUGGGCCUCGCACUCGCCUAAACCCUUAUUCCUUCACCCUCACACAGCCUCUGCCAGCUGUUCACUCACUUCGGUCAGCGCUCUGUUGUUUAGAGGCCUCAUUCACCCUUCUGAAAGGAGAAAAACCCAUUUGUUUCUGCAGUUUCAACCCUCACACCUGCUGUAUUUUUAUUCACAACACCUAACCCAACAUGACACUUUGUAAAAUCUGCCUUCUUUACUAGUCUCUAAGUUCCAUGAGGAAGGAAGGCAAUUUUUUGUUUGCUGCUAUACCACAAAGGCAUAGUAUAUAACAGAUGCUGAUGUAUGAAUGAAUACAUUUAACUUUGAGCCUCAGUUUCCUCACCUGGAAACUGGGAGUAAACCUGUACUCAUAUGGUGACUGUUAUAGUUGAACUGUCUGCUAUCAAUUCAUAUGCUGAAGUUCUAAGCUCAUGUGACUGCAUUUAGAGAUAGGGCCUUACAGGUAAGUAAGUUAAAAUGAGGCAGUAGGUUGGGCCCUAGUCCAGCCUGGCUUUUUUUUUUUUUUUUUUUUUUGUAUUUUUCCUUUUUAUUGGUACCGGGGAUCAAACUCUUGACUGCCUGCUUGCAAGGCAGGCACUUAUGCUGCUGAGCUAAAUUCCCAGCCCCUCCAGCCUGGCUUUUAAGAAGAGACACACUGAAGGGAGAUCAUUAAAGCCAGAGGGAGAAGCCAGCUAUCACCACUCUGCAAUGGUAAGACAGGCUGUCAGUGCCAUUCAAGGAGGAGGGUUUCAGAGAAAACCAACCCUGCCAACAUCUAGAUUUCCAGUGUUUACAACUGUGAGAAAAUAAAUUUGUAUUGCUAAUGCCA
Molecule: long non-coding RNA, 4710 nt
Organism: Cavia porcellus (domestic guinea pig)
Lineage: Eukaryota; Metazoa; Chordata; Mammalia; Rodentia; Caviidae
Exons: 3
Source: RefSeq, a predicted model, not a curated record